AUUGAACGCUGGCGGCAGGCCUAACACAUGCAAGUCGAACGGUAACGGGAAGAAGCUUGCUUCUUUGCUGACGAGUGGCGGACGGGUGAGUAAUGUCUGGGAAACUGCCUGAUGGAGGGGGAUAACUACUGGAAACGGUAGCUAAUACCGCAUAACGUCGCAAGCCCAAAGAGGGGGACCUUCGGGCCUCUUGCCAUCGGAUGUGCCCAGAUGGGAUUAGCUAGUAGGUGGGGUAACGGCUCACCUAGGCGACGAUCCCUAGCUGGUCUGAGAGGAUGACCAGCCACACUGGAACUGAGACACGGUCCAGACUCCUACGGGAGGCAGCAGUGGGGAAUAUUGCACAAUGGGCGCAAGCCUGAUGCAGCCAUGCUGCGUGUAUGAAGAAGGCCUUCGGGUUGUAAAGUACUUUCAGCGGGGAGGAAGGGAGUAAAGUUAAUACCUUUGCUCAUUGACGUUACCCGCAGAAGAAGCACCGGCUAACUCCGUG
This 490-nucleotide ribosomal RNA is filed under the name uncultured bacterium. RNAcentral's name for it is "partial 16S ribosomal RNA". It matches the Rfam family "Bacterial small subunit ribosomal RNA", at positions 30 to 507 of the family's 1533-position model. The record is from RNAcentral.